This 254-nucleotide ribosomal RNA is filed under the name uncultured bacterium. RNAcentral's name for it is "partial 16S ribosomal RNA". It matches the Rfam family "Bacterial small subunit ribosomal RNA", at positions 524 to 777 of the family's 1533-position model. The record is from RNAcentral.
UACGUAGGGUGCAAGCGUUGUCCGGAAUUACUGGGCGUAAAGGGCUCGUAGGCGGCCAACUAAGUCGGAUGUGAAAUCCCCAGGCUCAACUUGGGAACUGCAUCCGAUACUGGAUGGCUUGAAUUCGGGAGAGGGAUGCAGAAUUCCAGGUGUAGCGGUGAAAUGCGUAGAUAUCUGGAGGAAUACCGGUGGCGAAGGCGGCAUCCUGGACCGACAUUGACGCUGAGGAGCGAAAGCUAGGGGAGCAAACGGGG